CCUCCCUCUCUCACUCGCGCCGCUUUUUCUCUUGCGUACAUGGCCGAACAACCGCUACCAAGUUCACCGUCGAGAUGCCGUGGCCACCGGCCUUCCCCCAUCGCACCACCAUGUCCAGGAGCAACACCAUCAUCACCUUCAUCGCCUACGUCCACGGAUUGGAGCCGGGUCAUCAAGGAUUGAGCGCAUCGACCUCUUCUUCAUCAUCACCGACCACUGCUUCUCGGCGUCGAUCCGCGCUGCUCCGACCACCCCCGGCCUCGCCGUCUGCUCCCCCAGCUCCGCGGUGAGCAUCUCCACCGAUCCUCCCGCUUUCCCCCUUGUUUAGUCGCCGUUUGCGCCGCCCACCACUUCCCUGUGGGCUCGUGCUCGCGCUCACCGUGCCGGCCGCGCCUCGCAUGGCCGUGCGCCACCCGCGCCCUGCCUUGCCGAGGCCGCACCCUGGCCGCGUUCUGCACGCCCCUGCGUGCGCCCGGGCUUGUGCGUGGCCGGGCCCUGCCGCCCCUGCUGCCUUGGCCCCUCGCGCCCCGUGCGGCCAUAGCCGGCCGCUGCGGCUUCCUGCUGUUGUGUUCUGCAGCUGGUGCCGCUGCUGUGCUGCUCUGCUUACUGCCGUCUACGUUGAUGCUGUUUUUUUUUCUACUGCCGUUUCUGCUCUCUGAUGCUUCUUGCUGCUGCUCUUUGCUGCGCGCUCGCCCAGCUGCCCCAGCCGUUCGCUGCCGCCCCUGUUCCCGAGCGAUGCUGCUGGUCGUGGCCGUCAUACGCUGCAUGCAUACGUCCCUAGCUAGGUGAGGCACCGCUUGUGCCUCUGGCCAUGGCCGUGGUUGGUGUGUGCUAGUAUGUGUAUGUGCGUGAGCCUGUGUGGUGUUUAAUUAGAAUAUAGGAUUAGUUUAUGACUAACCUAGCGCUAAUCUCUUCCUAAUAAUAAAGCACGGAUUGACUCCGUGGGUUCACCGUCACAAUGCGCUUUCUUCUCGUGUCAUAAUACGCUUUUAUGAUUCGUAUAGACAAAAUCGUAAUAUAAACAAGGUGGUACUAAUGGUCCUUGCCCACGUAUCCGAAAAAAAUAUUCACUGAUGAAGGUAUAGAACUCACAACCUCCAGGUUAGUAAACGAAUGCUUUUAUGAUUCGUAUAGACAAAAUCGUAAUAUAAACAAGGUGGUACUAAUGGUCCUUGCCCACGUAUCCGAAAAAAAUAUUCACUGGUGAAGGUAUAGAACUCACAACCUCCAGGUUAGUAAACGAAUGCUUUUAUGAUUCGUAUAGACAAAAUCGUAAUAUAAAAUACUAAUGGUCCUUGCCCACGUAUCCGAAAAAAAUAUUCACUGGUGAAGGUAUAGAACUCACAACCUCCAGGUUAGUAAACGAAUGUCGUGGCCAACUCAACUAGCCCCUGUUGUGUGUACGAAUCAAAGUUGAUUGUGUUGUUAAAUUGUCCCACCUCGCUCCCUUACAUACAAUAUACCCAACUUAUAUACGUCUCUCAGUUCCCUCGGUAUCAGAAAGAGGUCUCAAGGAUUAUGACAGAGAAGAGAUGGUGGAAGGAAGAGAGGCUAAGGAAGGAAAUAUAUAUGUAGAGGCUAAGAAAGGAAAGAGGUGGCUAAGCUAAGGAAGGGAAAACAAGGAAGGAAAGAGACGAUAAAUAUGGGCUGCUGGAAAGAGAGGAUAAUUAACUUUCUAUAUAAGGACGG
This 1689-nucleotide long non-coding RNA is filed under the name Triticum aestivum (bread wheat). Its description in RNAcentral is "long non-coding RNA (TAES_LNC016319)". The record is from RNAcentral. Lineage: Eukaryota; Viridiplantae; Streptophyta; Magnoliopsida; Poales; Poaceae.